This 83-nucleotide small RNA is filed under the name Flaviramulus basaltis. RNAcentral's name for it is "Flavo-1 RNA". It matches the Rfam family "Flavo-1 RNA". Lineage: Bacteria; Pseudomonadati; Bacteroidota; Flavobacteriia; Flavobacteriales; Flavobacteriaceae. The record is from Rfam by way of RNAcentral.
CACUAGUUUGCGUUAGGGAUUGUAGUGAAAAUCCUUUUAGCGAGGCACGAACUAAAAGAUUGCAACGAAAAGCCCGACCCUUG